Molecule: long non-coding RNA, 1052 nt
Filed under: Olea europaea subsp. europaea
Lineage: Eukaryota; Viridiplantae; Streptophyta; Magnoliopsida; Lamiales; Oleaceae
Source: RNAcentral
GGGAAGUUUCACAAUUCAAAAAUCAAAAUUUUUUUAAUAUUAAUUAUUUAAAUAAACUAAUGAAAUUAGGAAAAUAUCAAAACCCUAUCCACUACCCAAACCUGUAAAUCUCCUCCCUGUCCCUCCCUUCUCCUCGUCUCUUCGGUGCCACCGAAUAGCCACUGCGAGUGGCAAACCAUAAACAUUUGUCGGAGACCACCAACACGCCACCUUUGGCGAGAUGGCAUACCCUGAUUUACCACAAAUUCAUCACCUAGAUAGUGACAUUUGCAAACAGAUUCAAUCAAUCUGGACAAUAAUUUUGCAUCGCGCCAUCACUGGGUCAGCUUCGCCAUGAAGUUAGCUGUGGGCAAUUAAUUUUUGUAUAGCAUCAAGGGCAGGCUCAAUAGCUUUCAAGUAAUUGGACAAGGUAAGGAUGGUUUUGGUUUUGUUUGUUGGAGUGGUAGUGGCGGAGUUGUGGCAGUGGCAACGAUAGGGUGGAGACGACGGUGAUAGUAAGGUGGUGUGAUGAUGGCAGUUGUGGGAGGCUAGUAGUUUUGGAUUCGAUUUGUUGGUGGUGGUUGUGUGUUGGCUCCGAUGGUGAUCGUGGCAGGGUUGUCACUUCCAUUGCGGCUCUGAUUUUGGAUCUAUUUUGUGGUGCUGUCACAUUGGUGGUGAAGUGGUAAUUUUUGGUGGUCACAAUCUAGGUGGCGUAGGUGGCGGUGGAUGACGGGAGAUCUAGGAAAUUUGGAUCCGAUCUGUGGUCGUGAUGAUAGCGGUUACUGUAAUAAUUUAUUUAUUUUUUUUUAUUUUUUUUUUUUUGUGGAUUUGACGUCGACAAUGUGAUGGUAUUUUCCGCAGUAAGUUGAUUUGUUUGAGGUGGUGGUGGUUCUAUCGACCACAAUGGCGGAAGUAGCGGUGAAAUGGUGGUCACAAGUGUUAUUAUUGCUCACAAAUUAUUUGGUUGACUAUAAUUAUUAAAUUGGUUAAUCUGUGACCAAUAAAUAAUAUGUUACAAAUAAAAAAUAUAAAAUUUGACCGAGAAAUAAUGUGUGAUCUAAAAAAAAUUUAAU